Molecule: ribosomal RNA, 200 nt
Filed under: uncultured bacterium
Lineage: Bacteria
Description: partial 16S ribosomal RNA
Rfam family: Bacterial small subunit ribosomal RNA
Source: RNAcentral
AGAGUUUGAUCAUGGCUCAGAAUCAACGCUGGCGGCGCGCCUAACACAUGCAAGUCGCACGAGAAAGCCGCAAGGCAAGUACAGUGGCGCACGGGUGAGUAACACGUGGACAAUCUGCCUUUAGUGGGGAAUAACCAUGGGAAACCGUGGCUAAUACCGCAUAAGCUCGAGAGAGGAAAGCAGCAAUGCGCUGAAGGAGG